GACCGGGUGAGUAACACGUGACUAACCUACCUUCAAGUGGGGGAUAACCUAGGGAAACCUGGGCUAAUACCGCAUAACAUCUUUGGGAUGGAAAUCCUGUUGAUCAAAGGAGCAAUUCGCUGGAAAGGGGGUCGCGGCUGAUUAGCUAGUUGGCGGGGUAAUGGCCCACCAAGGCUUUGAUCGGUAGCCAGCCUGAGAGGGCGCACGGCCAACUGGAACUGAAACACGGUCCAGACUCCUACGGGAGGCAGCAGUGGGGAAUUUUGCGCAAUGGGGGAAACCCUGACGCAGCAACGCCGCGUGGAGGGAUGAAAGUCCCCUUGGGGACCGUUAAACUCCCUUUCGACUGGGAAGAUAUGACGGGUACCAGUGGAAGAAGCCCGGUAAUUUCGGUGCCAAGCAGCCGGGGGUAAUACGGGAGGAUCCAAAGGCGUUAAUCCGGAUUUAUUGGGGUUAAAAGGGUGGCGGUAGGCGGUUAUUAAGUCAGGGGUGAAAAGAAGGGUUAGCUUUAAU
Molecule: ribosomal RNA, 513 nt
Filed under: uncultured bacterium
Lineage: Bacteria
Description: bacterial SSU rRNA
Rfam family: Bacterial small subunit ribosomal RNA
Source: RNAcentral